GCGAGUGGCGAAGGCUGACUAAUAUAUCGGAACGUGUCCUGUAGUGGGGGAUAGCCCGGCGAAAGCCGUAUUAAUACCGCAUACGCUCUGGCGAGGAAAGCGGGGGAUCUUAGGACCUCGCGCUACAGGGGCGGCCGAUGGCAGAUUACCUAUUUGGUGGGGUAAAGGCCUACCAAGGCGACUAUCUGUAGCUGGUCUGAGAGGACUACCACCCACACUGGGACUGAGACACGGCCCAGACUCCUACGGGAGGCAAGAGUGGGGAAUUCUGGACAAUGGGGGCAACCCUGAUCCAGCAAUGCCGGGUGUGUGAAGAAGGCCUUCGGGUUGUAAAGCACUUUUGUCCUGAAAGAAAACNGCCUGGCUAAUAUCCUGGUGGGAUGACUGUCCCGGNAACAAUUAGCACCGNUAACUACGUGCCAGCAGCCCCGGUAAUA
This 437-nucleotide ribosomal RNA is filed under the name Burkholderia sp. C50. Its description in RNAcentral is "bacterial SSU rRNA". It matches the Rfam family "Bacterial small subunit ribosomal RNA", at positions 91 to 525 of the family's 1533-position model. Lineage: Bacteria; Pseudomonadati; Pseudomonadota; Betaproteobacteria; Burkholderiales; Burkholderiaceae. The record is from RNAcentral.